This 734-nucleotide long non-coding RNA is filed under the name Setaria viridis. RNAcentral's name for it is "long non-coding RNA (SVIR_LNC005279)". The record is from RNAcentral. Lineage: Eukaryota; Viridiplantae; Streptophyta; Magnoliopsida; Poales; Poaceae.
CUCCACUCAACAUCAGGGCCAUGAGCACACAACAAGGAAGCAAUUCCUUGUGCAGUGGCAUCGAUAGUGGCUUCGGAUGCAGGAACUUCCAACUUCGGGUAGUUGAAGGCCCAAGCGAGAAAAUUAACAUGCAAAAUAGAAAAGGCAGCAACAAGUCAGGGAAGCUAAUUUCCAACUUUCGGUCAUGUAACUGAAUAUUGUAAAGGGCUAGAAUAUUGGUCAAAGCCUCAACGGACAUCCUAUAUCACCAAAUAAUUUUUAGGGAACCGGAGGAACAUGUCAUAUAAGCGGGUAUAAAUGUUGCAGUUUUCUAUUUGAGGUGCACAUAAAUUCAUUAUAGAUGUUUUGUCAGUUAACAUUGUAUUGGCUGAUCAAGUACCCUAAAUAACCAUGUAUAGGGUCUCUGUCUUGAAAUUAGUUUGAUGAUAAUAAACUAGCUCAAAAAUGCUGGGUAGAGAAUGUGGUUAGCUGUCAUUUCACUAAACAAGCUUUUCAGCACCCAUACUACUCAAAUUUGAGAAAGGUGGUUGAAGGAAAAUGAGUUCAUAAAUGUGAAAUAAAUGGGUGCAGAAUAUAUUGCAUACCUGCCUCUUAUAAGAUGAUACAUAGCCACCCAAUGGUUCAUGAUGUACUUCAACUCCUUCGGCAUGUCCCAGUGGUGGAAAAAGUAGUGUUGGUUGGGAAAGUAUGCGGAAAAGCAAAGCAGCAGCGGUAUCAGCAGCAAUACCGGCUCU